GGCGGACGGGUGAGUAACACGUGGGAACGUGCCCUUUGGUUCGGAAUAAUCCGGGGAAACCUGGCCUAAUACCGGAUGAGCCCUACGGGGGAAAGAUUUAUCGCCAUUGGAGCGGCCCGCGUCUGAUUAGCUAGUUGGUGAGGUAAAGGCUCACCAAGGCUACGAUCAGUAGCUGGUCUGAGAGGAUGAUCAGCCACACUGGGACUGAGACACGGCCCAGACUCCUACGGGAGGCAGCAGUAGGGAAUCUUGCGCAAUGGGCGAACGCCUGACGCAGCCAUGCCGCGUGAAUGAUGAAGGUCUUAGGAUUGUAAAAUUCUUUCAGCAGGGAAGAUAAUGACUGUACCUGCAGAAGAAGCCCCGGCUAACUUCGUGCCAGCAGCCGCGGUAAUACGAAGGGGGCUAGCGUUGCUCGGAAUUACUGGGCGUAAAGGGCGCGUA
This 441-nucleotide ribosomal RNA is filed under the name uncultured Alphaproteobacteria bacterium. RNAcentral describes it as "bacterial SSU rRNA". It matches the Rfam family "Bacterial small subunit ribosomal RNA", at positions 97 to 573 of the family's 1533-position model. Lineage: Bacteria; Pseudomonadati; Pseudomonadota; Alphaproteobacteria. The record is from RNAcentral.